GACGGAGGAUGCAAGUGUUAUCCGGAAUCACUGGGCGUAAAGCGUCUGUAGGUGGUUUAAUAAGUCAACUGUUAAAUCUUGAGGCUCAACCUCAAAAUCGCAGUCGAAACUAUUAGGCUAGAGUAUAGUAGGGGUAAAGGGAAUUUCCAGUGGAGCGGUGAAAUGCGUAGAGAUUGGAAAGAACACCGAUGGCGAAGGCACUUUACUGGGCUAUUACUAACACUCAGAGACGAAAGCUAGGGUAGCAAAUA
This 251-nucleotide ribosomal RNA is filed under the name uncultured bacterium. RNAcentral's name for it is "partial 16S ribosomal RNA". It matches the Rfam family "Bacterial small subunit ribosomal RNA", at positions 524 to 774 of the family's 1533-position model. The record is from RNAcentral.